GGAUGGAAGGAAGGAAGGGAGGGAGUUAGUUUUGUAGUCACAUUGGCUAAAAAUUGAAUUGUUAUAAAGGUUUUUAAAAAUGAUACACUUGCUUUUUUGUUUUAAUAGUUUGAGUAUGUAAUUUUCUUUCAUUUGCAGAAAGGGCAAAGUUUUGUUGGACUAUUGGUCUGCUCUUAAUAAGAUAUUAUGAAUGUUUUGUUUUGUUUUGUUUUUACCUUUUGAGUAAUCUGCCUGAAAAGCAAAAAAGUUGUGUUUUACUAAAAUACUUUCCUGUGCUUCAUGUUUUCUUUAUCAGAUCUUUGAUUACUUACUGAGUCUUAACGCUAAGAGCUGAAUUUUACUUAAAACAAUGUAAUCUCCUAUAUUUGCUUUUAAAAUCUUUCGUCACUUUGGUUAAAAAUAUAAUUAAGUAUUAUCUGUGAUCCUAUUUAGUCAAGUGUCCAAACCUUUUGAUAUUUUUUGCAAACUUUCCAAAAUCGAUUUUUAAACACAAUUUUUUGACCUGGAAAGUAAGUUGGAGUUUUCCAGAGGGUCCCUGGAACAUCUCAAAAGAUUUGUUUUUUCUCUUUAUAAAAGGGAGGUGCUAAAUGAAUUGGUUUAUGUGAUAUUGCUAAAUUACAUGGGAAGUAUUGUUAAAUAAGAAAUAUCAAGCUUUCUUUACAUUGUAUAGGUAUCUGUUUUAAGUGUUGCAGAAAUUAUAUGAAAUUCCUAGAAAUCAGAUGUCCCAGCAUAAUGUUAUCACUGUAAUUCCAGUUAUUAUCUUAAAAUGUUGUGUUCCCAGAUAUAAUCAGAUUUUCUUGCCAAUUGCAUUGUAAUGAACUUUAUCAGAUCUUUAACCGUGGCCAUUUUUAAGUCCUUUCUCCUUUACAGACAGUUACUGUUUUAUUCUGAUGUUUUGUAAAAGCUUUCCUGUAAAAGUGCUUCAUCUUCAAGGAGUUCAUGAAUGGACUCUAACAAGUAUUGUGGAAUACAAGUUUCUGAUAACUUUAAGGUCGUCCAACUGAACUGGAUUACUGAUACAUGUGAAUCAGCCAGACCAUUUUGUAAAUACCCUCAACCUGCAAUAAUUUUUUCCACCUGUUUCCAAAAGGUAAUGGAAAAUCUAGAGUUAACACCUAGCUGGGCUAUACAUCAAUCAAUCAAAAGUUAACUUGGGUGAGGUUUGGUCAUAGCUGGAUGUCAUACAGAGACAGCCUGAUUUCCUUCUCUUAAGAGCAUAGAAUUGAGUCUAUUAUAUUUGCCUCCCAGCACAGAAAAGUGACAUACCUGUUCCAUGGCCUGAGUCAUCAUACAUACUAUGAUUCAUUUUGCAAGGAUAGAGCAAACUGUUGGGUCUGAUCAAAUUUUCUCUUAUCUGUUGACCAGGUAGGCCUAUCUUUUCUUGUAUCAGCAUUUGUCAUGUAUCUUAAAGUUAUUGAUUUUUUUAUUCCCUUUUUUUUUUUUUUAAGUAGGCUCCACACUCCAUGUGGGGCUUGAACUCAUGACCCUGGGAUCAAGAGUCACAUGCUUUACCGACUGAGCCAGGUGCCCCUAGACUCAUUGAUAUUUUUAAUACAAUUACUGUUGAUCAUUAAAAAUCCAAUGGACCUACUUAAUACAAAAAGUACAGAACUUUUCUAUAAUUUAGGCUGAGUUUUGAAGAUCCUGUCUCCAAGUAAAACAAACCCCACUAGUAAGUACCAGUUGAAAAUGAGGCCCAUUUAAAAUGGAAUACCCUACAUUAAAGUAUGUGGAAGUUGGUCUAUAAAUAUAUUUACCAUGUACAUUGAACUGCAUUUAAAUAGAUUUCAAAGGAACUCAGAUUUCAUCCACUGUAGCACACUUUCUAUAAAUCUGGAAACAGGAGAGUCUGGGAGAUGAAAUGAUUUCUUAAAUACUAGUUCACAAUGUUGCAAGGGCCUAAUCAAGAAGUGUCAGGAUUGUGCCUCCCUUCCCCCCAUUUUCAGUUUUGUUUCUAAUGUAAGCUCACAUUUGACAUGUUGGCUGAUUUUAACAUGUAUGUUACAGUAAUAAAUUCAAGGACUUCCA
Acinonyx jubatus (cheetah) is the source of this 2028-nucleotide long non-coding RNA. RefSeq lists it as uncharacterized. The record is from RefSeq and is a predicted model, not a curated record. Lineage: Eukaryota; Metazoa; Chordata; Mammalia; Carnivora; Felidae. The transcript has 2 exons.